GUCUUGUAGAGCAAUGGAUAGCGCGCGUUGGACUUCUAUUUCAAUGGUCGUAGGGUUUAAAUCCCACCUGAGAUG
Molecule: non-coding RNA, 75 nt
Organism: Trichonephila inaurata madagascariensis
Lineage: Eukaryota; Metazoa; Arthropoda; Arachnida; Araneae; Nephilidae
Source: the annotation of a GenBank genome assembly